RNAcentral lists this long non-coding RNA (14979 nucleotides) under Zea mays. Its description in RNAcentral is "long non-coding RNA (ZMAY_LNC000314)". The record is from RNAcentral. Lineage: Eukaryota; Viridiplantae; Streptophyta; Magnoliopsida; Poales; Poaceae.
AACAUAAUCACCAGGUGUGCUGGGACCAAGUCUCACACAUAUGAUGAAUCAUGGCACAUGAUCGAAUGUCACAUCUUUACUAUAUAAUAGGAGUUCUGUACAAAAUAAAUAAAUAAUUACAUUAUAAGAAGACAACGGUCUAGCAACCCAAGGUUGACUGGGAGACGACGACCUAGACCUCUCACGAACUCAUCACAACAUCCUCCAUGCGCCUCAUCCGGCGGUACCUGUUCUUGACCUGUGGGGGUGUGAGACAGCAAGAGUGAGCUCACAUGCGUUCAUCGCUCAACAAGUUGUGGGGAAUAAUGUGCAUGAACUCGCCAAAGGUGGGAGCUCACAUGAAGUGUAAGGCUUACCAAAGAGGAUGGUUGAAGCUGAGCAUUGCUUUUAAAGUUGGUCAAAAUUUUAUUAGCAAUUACUAAGUAUAAGUAAAUACCAACCCAAUUAAGUAGUAGAACAAAAGUAAUAACAACAUCUGCAAUGUAAUGCAAUGCAUAUGACAAAUUGAAUUAAGUUCCAUAAAUUAAUCAUGUGAGUGUCCGAGCUGCUCAUGACCGUGAGCACGGCUAGUAUACCAGUUUCACACUCUACAGAGGUUGCACAUCUUUACCCACAAGUCAUGUAACCCAUCUGCCAAGGGAUCGCGACUUCCUAUACACCUCUACCGAGGAGGCGAGGUAGGGUAACACUACGAGGCCUUUACAAAGUUCCACUAGCUUCAGAAAACCCGCUACAGUUUCUAGGAAGCUCCAAUGCAGGGAUCCCUUGCCUGACCGCCAUCGCAGCAAAAUCAACCCAAGGACCUCCCUACACUGAUCACUCCCCUACUACCCUUGCCCCUUUCGGGUAAGGUAGUCCUCCACUAGCUUUCCUCAUUAGUCAGCCAAGGGCGUCCCAUACCACCCUUGUGGUAGCACCGUUUUCUAGGGUGGUUCUUCAUGUUCCCAUUAACAUAAUGAUCUUAUCAUGAAUAGUAAAUAAAAAUUGAUAACAAAAGUAUGAAAAAUGUAUAUCUCUGUCGGGUACCGUAAUUAGGGGUACCCCCAGCACUCCUAAACACGGCUGGUAAGCUCCAUCAGCACAAACUACAGAGACUGAUGGGCACGGUUCAGGUCAAGACCUCGCCUACCAAGGGACGCAAUCUCGCCUCGCCCGAACCUGGCCUCGAGCGGGAACAGUAGUCCCGGACGAAUUCGCGCCUCGCUCGAGGGUCUCCUCAGGCAGUGGGUGCACCCUCGGCUCGCCCGAGGACCAGCUCGGGUAGGCUUCAUCGAGAAGCAACCUUGGCCAAAUCGCCUCACCAUCCGACCGUAUCGCAGGCGCAUUCAAUGCGAGGAUCGCCUGACACCUUAUCCUGACACGCGCGCCUCAGUCGGCCAGGUCAAAGUGACCGCAGUCACUUUGCCCUUUCACUGACCGAUCUGACAGGAAAACAGCGCCGCUCAACCCGCUCCGACUGCUGUGUCAGCCACCCGGGCAAGGCUGACAAUAGCAAGUUCAGCCUCGGACGCAACAGGAAGCUCCGCCUUGCCCGACCUUAGGCCUCGGCCUCGGGAGGAGGUCUCCGCCUCGCCCGACCCCAAGACUCGGCCUCAGCCUCGACAUAGGGAGGAAUCGCGUCCUCGCCCGACCCCGGUCUCGGCCUCAGGAGAAGUCUCCGCCUCGCCUGACCUUGGGCUCGGACCGACCGCGCCACAGGGGAUACAUCAUUACCCUACCCCUAGCUAGCUCAGGCUACGAGGGAACAAGAUCGGCGUCCCAUCUAGCUCGUCCCGGUAACAGGUAAUGAUGGCUCCCCGCGUGCGGCCAUGACGACGGUGGUUCUCAGCCCCCUACGGAAGCAAGGAGACAUCAGCAGGAUCCCAGCAGCACCGCCAGCUGUGCUUCUACAGGGCUCAGGCACUUUUCCGACGGCCACGUUAUCACGUACACAGGGCUCUAGCACCUCUUCGACAGCCAAGUUGGCAUGUGCACAGGGCUCAGGCACCUCUUUGCCAGACAUGUUAGCGCAUAGCUACACCCCCAUUGUACACCUGGACCCUCUCCUUGCAUCUAUAAAAGGGAGGUCAAGGGCCUUCAUGCGGGAGGGUCACGCGGAGGGACGAGCAAACGAACAGGCUCACUCUCUCUCUCUCUCGCGAACGCUUGUAACCCCUACUACGAGCACACCCCCUGGUGCGAGAUAAUACGAGCCGCGUUUUCCCCUUGUGUUCCAUCUCGCGCCAACCCAUCUGGGCAGGGACACGCAACGAAAAAUUUACUGGUUGGCUUACGGACCCCCCAGGUCCGAAACGUCGACAGUUGGCGCGCCAGGUAGGGGCCUGCUCAGCAACCUCUUCAGCCCGGGACCGUGCUCCGCUUCGGGAGUAUCGAGUUCAUGUCCCUCGACGGCAGCUACGACAUGGUACUCCUCCCCCCGAAGCGCGACAGCAACAACGACGGUCGUCAGCUCGCCCGGCAGUGGCAAACUCGAUGACGUCUUCCCCACGUGGCGGAAGAGCAGCAUCCGGGUUUGCCUUGCCACCCUCCUCGCCGCAGAAGGAGGAGACGGGGCAACCGUGGCCAGGUAGGAGGCGGCGCCUCGUCGGCUGUCAAGCGAGUCGACGACGCCGGCACCCCAGCGGGGGACAUGUCGGGCGUUGUCCUCGGACCUGAGACAACGACGGAUGUCGUUUCGCCGCAACGUGCCAACCCCAAGCGGACUGAUGAUGCCAGCACUCUCGCGAAGGACUUGCUUGGCGUUAGCCUUGUACAUGAGAUGACGGUGAAGUCCUUCCCCGACGCGACUUCCCCACCAUCCAUCGACCAAGAGGUACCGUCCGUUUUCCAUACUGUGCCUUUUAGAUUCAGCUUUAAUCCACCAAGCGACCCCACUGCGGUGAGCGCUUUCGUAAAGGCGUACCCUAACCUUCUGGGGUACCAUAUGUGGGCAUCUUGGGACCGACUGACGGUUGUCUCAACCUACGGGCCCCUAGGUUCCGAGGAAGAGGACGACCCCGACUCCGGUUGGGCUUUCUCCGGGCUCAGUGAUCCCAGUGCCAAGCGAGACUUCAUGACCGCAUGUGACUACUGCCUCUCCGGUUGCUCUGAUGAUGGCCACAGCCUUGACGAUGAGGGUUGUGACCCGUGUCGCGAAUGUUUCCACGUCGAUCUGGGGGAUCGCGAUGAAGGCAACCACCUUGGUAUGCUGGAGGAUGAUGAUCCCCCUGUGCCUGCUUCUCGCGUUGACAUCCCGCGGGAGCUAGCUGUGGUCCUAGUCCCUGCGGGGGGUCAGGACACACAACUCGAGCAAAUCAGUGGGAUGCAGGCCAAGCUCGACGAGGAAGCAGGGCAACUUGUGUAGCUCCGGCAAAACAUCGAGCAGGAGUGGGCAGGCCGGGCACUCGCCGGAGAAGCGCGUCAUCGGGCCCGGGACAUCCAACACCGUAUCGUUGACGAUGCCAGGGCAAGGCUGCGCCCGCCCUCCAGCGGGGUCGACUAGAAUCGAACUGCAGCGGCAAUACUACUCCGAGCGAUGCCGGAGCCAUCCACCACCGAGGGGCGGCAUAUCCAAGGAGAACUCAAGAAUCUCCUAGAGGAUGCUGCGAUCCGAUGGGCCGAAAGCUCUGCCUCCCUAAGGCAGGGGUGCCCCCGGAGCAUCGCACAACGACUUCCCGACUCAUGCGGGAGGCCUCGGUCCACACCGGGUGCACGCGGGACGGGACGCCUGCAGCCCCGGGUCGCCUCGGUGACGAGCCACACCAUCGCAACCGUCGAGCCCGCCUCGACGAGAGGGUGCGCGGAGGCUACCACCCCAGGCGCGGAGGACGCUACGACAGCGAGGAGGAUCGGAGUCCCUCGCCCGAACCACCAGGUCCGCAAGCCUUCAACCGGGCCAUACGACGGGCGCCGUUCCCGGCUCGGUUCUGGGCCCCGACUACCAUCACCAAGUAUUCGGGGGAAACAAGGCCGGAGUUGUGGCUUGCGGACUACCGGCUGGCCUGCCAGCUAGGAGGAACGGACGAUGACAACCUCAUCAUCCGCAACCUCCCCCUAUUCCUCUCCGACGCUGCCCGGGCCUGGCUAGAGCAUCUGCCUCCCGCACAGAUCUCCAACUGGGAUGACCUGGUCAAGGCCUUCGCUGGAAAUUUCCAGGGCACGUACGUGCGCCUUAGGAACUCGUGGGAUCUCCAAAGCUGCCGCCAGCAGCCAGGGAAAUCCCUGCGAGAGUACAUCUGACGGUUUUCAAAGCAGCGCACCGAGCUGCCCAACAUCACCGACUCGGAUGUUAUCGGGGCGUUCCUCGCCGGCACUACCUGCCGAGACCUGGUGAGGAAACUGGGGCGCAAGACUCCCACCAAGGCGAGCGAGUUGAUGGACAUCGCCACCAAGUUCGCCACUGGCAAGGAGGCGGUCGAAGCCAUCUUCCGGAAGGACAAGCAGCCUCAGGGACGGCAGCAGGAAGACGUUCCCGAGGCGUCCGCCCAGCGUGGCACGAAGAAGAAGGCCAAGAAGAAGGCGCAAGCAAAGCGCGACGCCGCUGACGCGGAUCUCGUCGCUGUUGUCGAACACAGCAACCCUCGAAAGCCUCCAGGAGGGGCCAACCUGUUCGACAAGAUGCUCAAGGAGUCAUGCCCCUAUCACCAGGGUCCCGUCAAGCACACCCUUGAGGAAUGCGUCAUGCUUCGGUGCUACUUCCAUAAGGCCGGGCCCCCGGCGGGAGAUGGCAAAGGCCAAGACAACAACAAGAAAGAGGGCGACAAGGAAGAGGAGUUCCCCGAGGUCCACGGCUGCUUCAUGAUCUACGGUGGGCAAGUGGCGAAUGCCUCGGCUCGGCACCGCAAGCAGGAGCGCCGGGAGGUCUGCUCGGUGAAGGUGGCGGCGCCAGUCUACCUAGACUGGUCCGACAAGCCCAUCACGUUCGACCAAGGCGACCACCCUGACUGCGUGCCGAGCCCAGGAAGGUACCCGCUCGUUGUCGAUCCUGUCAUCGGCAACGCCAGGCUCACCAAGGUCCUCAUGGACGAAGGCAGCAGCCUCAACAUCAUCUACGCCGAGACCCUCGGGCUCUUGGGGAUCGAUCUGUCCACAAUCCGGGCCAGUGCGGUGCCCUUUCACGGGAUCGUCCUCGGAAAGCACGUCCUCCCCCUUGGACAACUCGAUUUGCCCGUCUGCUUUGGAACUCCCUCCAACUUCCGCAGGGAAACCCUCACGUUCGAGGUGGUCGGGUUCCGAGGGACCUACCACGCGGUGUUGGGGAGACUGUGCUACGCCAAGUUCAUGGCCGUCCCCAACUACACAUACCUCAAGCUCAAGAUGCCAGGCCCCAACGGGGUCAUCACCAUCGGAUCCACGUACCGACACGCGUACAAAUGCGGCAUGGAGUGCGUGGAGUACGCUGAGGCCCUCGCCGAGUCCGAGGCCCUCAUCGCCGACCUGGAGUGCCUCUCCAAGGAGGUGCCUGAUGCGAAGCGCCACGCCGGCAACUUCGAACCGGCUGAGACGGUUAAGUCCGUCGCCCUCGACCCCAGCAACGAUGCCUGCAAGCAAGUCCAGAUCGGCUCCGAGCUCGACCCCAAAUAGGAAGCAGUGCUCGUCGACUUUCUCCGCGCAAACACCAAAGUUUUUGCGUGGAGUCCCUCGGACAUGUCCAUCAUACCGAGGGAUGUUGCCGAGCACUCACUAGACAUCUGAACCGGUGCCCGACCCGUGAAGCAGCCUCUGCGCCAUUUCGACGAAAAAAAGCGCAGAGCCAUAGGCGAGGAGAUCCACAAGCUGAUGGCUGCAGGGUUCAUCAAAGAGGUUCUCUACCCUCUGCCUCGCAUCGAUCAAAUUGUGGACUCCACUGCUGGGUGCGAAACCCUGUCAUUCCUCGACGCCUAUUCAGGUUAUCACCAAAUCAAGAUGAAAGAGUCCGACCAGCUCGCGACUUCUUUCAUCACACCUUUUGGCAUGUACUGUUAUACUACCAUGCCAUUUGGCUUGAGGAAUGCAGGUGCAACAUACCAAAGGUGCAUGAACCACAUGUUCGGAGAGCACAUCGGCCGAACGGUCGAGUCUUGCGUCGAUGACAUCGUUGUCAAGAUGAGGAAAGCCUCCGACCUCCUCUCCAACCUUGAAACGACAUUCAAGUGUCUGAGAGUGAAAGGCGUGAAACUCAAUCCCGAGAAGUGUGUCUUCGGAGUACCCCGAGGCAUGCUCCUGGGGUUCAUCGUCUCCGAGCGGGGCAUCGAGGCCAACCCAGAGAAAAUCGCAGCCAUCACCAACAUGGGGCCUAUCAAAGAUUUGAAAGGAGUACAAAGGGUCAUGGGAUGCCUUGCGGCUCUGAGCCGCAUCAUCUCGUGCCUCGGCAAAAAAGGCCUACCCUUGUACCACCUCUUAAGGAAGGCCGAGUGCUUCACUUGGACCCCCGAGGCUGAGGAAGCCCUCGGAAACUUAAAGGCGCUCCUUACAAACGCGCCCAUCUUGGUGCCCCCCGCUGCGGGAGAAGCCCUCUUGAUCUACGUAGCCGCAACCACUCAGGUGGUCAGCGCCGCGAUCAUAGUCGAGAGAUGAGAAGAAGGGCAUGCACUGCUCGUCUAGAGGCCGGUCUACUUCAUAAGUGAGGUGCUAUCCGAGACCAAGAUCCGCUACCCACAAAUCCAGAAGCUACUAUACGCAGUAAUUCUGACGCGGCGAAAAUUGCGACACUACUUCGAGUCUCAUCCGGUGACUGUGGUGUCAUCCUUUCCCCUGGGGGAGAUCAUCCAGUGCCGAGAGGCCUCGGGUAGGAUAGCAAAGUGGGCGGUGGAACUCAUGGGUGAGACAAUCUCGUUCGCUUCUCGGAAGGCCAUAAAAUCCCAAGUCUUGGCGGACUUCGUGGCUGAAUGGGUCGACACCCAAUUGCCAACAGCUCCGAUCCAACCCGAGCUUUGGACCAUGUACUUCGAUGGGUCGCUGAUGAAAACAGGAGCAGGUGCGGGCCUGCUCUUUAUCUCACCCCUCGUGAAACAUGUGCGCUACGUGCUGCGCCUCCAUUUUCCGGCAUCAAACAACGUUGCCGAGUACGAGGCUUUGGUUAACGGGCUGCGCAUCGCCGUCGAGCUAGGGGUUCGGCGCCUCGACACUCGUGGCGACUCGCAGCUUCUCAUCGACCAAGUCAUGAAGAACUCCCACUGCCGCGACCCGAAGAUGGAGGCCUACUGCGAUAAAGUUCGGCGCCUGGAAGACAAGUUCUACGGGCUGGAGCUCAACCACAUCACUUGAUGGUACAACGAGACUGCGGACAAGCUGGCAAAAAUAGCCUCGGGGCGGACAACGGUUUCCCCGGACGUCUUCUCCAGAGACAUACAUCAACCCUCCGUCAAGAUCGACGACAUGCCCGAGCCCGAUGAGACCUCGGCUCAGCCCGAGGUACCCUCGGCCACCGAGGGUGAGGCCUUGCGCAUCGAGGGAGAGCGGAAUGGGGUUGCGCCAAACCGAAACUGGCAAACCCCGUACCUGCAAUAUCUCCACCGAGGAGAGCUACCCCUCGACAAGGCCGAAGCUCGGCGCGCCAAGUCGUUCGUCUUACUGGGUGAUGAAAAGGAGCUCUACCACCACAGCCCCUCGGGCAUUCUCCAACGAUGCAUAUCCAUCGUCGAAGGAUAAGAGCUGUUGCAAGAGAUACACUCGGGGGCUUGCGGUCACCAUGCAGCACCUCGAGCCCUCGUAGGAAACGCUUUCCGACAAGGUUUCUACUGGCCGAUCGUGGUGGCCGACGCCACUAGGAUUGUACGCUCCUGCCAAGGGUGUCAAUUCUACGCAAGACAGACGCACCUGCCCGCUCAGGCCCUACAGACAAUACCCAUCACCUGGUCGUUUGCCGUGUGGGGUCUGGACCUCGUUGGUCCCUUGCAGAAGGCAACCAGGGGCUUCUUGCACCUGCUGGUCACCAUCGACAAAUUCUCCAAGUGGAUCGAGGUCCGACCCCUAACCAGCAUCAGGUCCGAGCAGGCGGUGGCGUUCUUCACAAACAUCAUCCAUCGUUUUGGGGUCCCGAACUCCAUCAUCACCGACAACGGCACGCAGUUCACUGGGAAGAAGUUCCUGGACUUCUGCGAGGACCAUCACAUCCGUGUGGACUAGGCCAUCGUAGCUCACCCCAUGACGAAUGGGCAGGUCGAGCGUGCCAACGAUAUGAUUCUGCAUGGACUUAAACCGAGGAUCUACAACGACCUCAGCAAGUUCGGCAAGCGGUGGAUGAAAGAGCUACCCUCGGUGGUCUGGAGUCUGAGGACGACGCCGAGCCGAGCCACGGGUUUCUCGCCGUUCUUUCUAGUCUAUGGGGCCGAGGCUAUCUUACCCACAAAAUUAGAAUAUGGUUCCCCGAGGACAAAGGUGUACGACGACCGAAGCAACCAGACCAGCCGGGAAGAAUAACUGGACUAGCUCGAAGAAGCUCGGGACGUGGCCUUACUACACUCGGCACGGUAUCAGUAGUCUCUGCGACGCUACCACGCCCAAAGGGUCCGGUCCCAAGACUUCCAGGUGGGAGACCUGGUACUUCGGCUGCGACAAGACGCCCGAGGGCGCCACAAGCUUACUCCUCCCUGGGAAGGGCCGUUCAUCAUCACCAAGAUUUUGAAGCCUGGAACAUACAAGCUGGCCAACGAUCAAGGCAAGGUCUACAACAACGCUUGGAACAUCCAACAGCUACGUCGCUUCUACCCUUAAGAUGUUUCAAGUCAUUCAUAUACCUCGUUUUCUUUACAUGCAUACAUAAAGUCUAACCGUCAAGGAAGGAUCGGCCUUGCCUCGGCAAAGCCCGACCCUCCCUCGGGGGCUAGAAGGGGGGAACCCCCUCUGCGUCAAAAUGUUCCUCGGAAAAGUCUUUUGCCAGAACGUCUUUCGUGUCGUUUCGACUGCUUCGAUAGCGGGGUCCUGAAAACGACGAGAGUACACGUAAGCGGCAAGGCCGACCAAACCGAGGGACUCCUACCCCUCUAGGAUACGGAUACCUCACUCAUCACCUUCCAUGAUAAGUAACUCACGCUCGGAUAAGCGAUUCUGCUACCGAACAAGUCCUAACGCUUGAAAACUUUUCUGCCAGAACGACUUUCGUGCCGUUUCGACUGCUUCGAUAGCAGAACCCUAAAAACGACGAGAGUACACGUAAGUGGCAAGGCCGACCAAGCCGAGGGACUCCUACGCCUCUGGGAUACGGAUACCUCACUCAUCACCUUCUGCGAAAAGUAACGCUCGGACGAGGGAUUCUGCUACCAAACAAGUCCUAACACACGAAACGAGAGGAAAGAAAACACAGCUUUAUAAUCCGACGCUAAAAUUUUUAGGCCCCAGUGGCCGCAAAAAACAUACGCAUGCUUCAGACAAACUGUCCCUGCAGGUUCGGACAUCGGCAGGGGGAGCAGCAGCACCCUCAGCGAUGUUUCCACCCUCGGCGGAAUCUGGCCCGGCCUCAGACGACGACACGGGCGGAAGGAUCUCCACCUCGAAGGAGGACGCCGGCACCGCGCUUGGGCCCUCACGGCUAGGGUCUUCGGCAGGGUUCCAGCCCGAGCGGACGCCUCGACUGGCCGCUCGUAGCCUCAGCCAACUGUCCCCCGAGGACCUCAGCCCGGCUCACGGCCUCGGUAGUGUGACUCCGGGGUUGGUCCCGCUCGCGGAUGACCUGGCCAAGCUCCAGCCGCCACCGCUGCACUUCCUCGACCUGGGAAGCCACAUGCUCCUGGGCCGACAAAGCCUCUUUUCGAGCCGACUCCGCCUCUGUCCAUGCCGACACCGCUGCCUCUGGCUCCAGCUCAUCGCAGAGCGGCCGAGGGUUCUAAAACUGAGCAAGAGAAGCCUUGAGUGGCAAGGCCGACCGAGCCGAGGGACUCCUACGCCUCUGGGAUAUGGAUACCUCACUCGUCACCUUCCGCACAAGGCAACUCACGCUCGGUUAAGUGGUUCCGCUAGCCGACAGGCAAGUCCUAGUGCUCGAAAUGAGGAAGAAUCACGACAUUAUGCUAAAAUGCCCAAAUGUUCAGGCCUCAGCGGCCACAAUGAACAAACACCCAUACCCAGGGUACCAUUACAAACGGGACUCCGGUUCCACUCCUGCGGGUGUGAACAACCUCUACACCAGAGGGCCUGCGGGAUAACAAACUCCAGGUGGCUCGCCGGCAACCGCUGCACCAACAGCGUGGCAACGACCUCCGUCUCGGGCGGCAAGACAGCUGCAGCGAUGGACUCAGGGCAAACGCUGCCGCUGAAAGGCCCUCGUUCAUGUCCCCUCACGGGGGACGAGAACCAGCCAUUAAAGCCAAAGAGCCGGAGGUCCAGAGCGCAGGUGGCACGAAUGGUCUCGUCGGCAGAAGAAACCGCUUCGGCAGAGGCAACCUCACCUAUGGCGACCACCACCUCAGCACCGACGACGGCGGCCACCUGCCCAACAACACCGCACCAGCGAGUCCGGCAGCCACGGUCGAUAUGGCCAAAAGCGGACCGGCAGUAAUAGCAGCAGCAGACGGGCAGAGGUAGCGGUCAAAUCGCCUGCAGGCUCACGUCCCCUCCUGAAGCGGCAGGAGAGCCCUCUCCCACGGCAUGAAGACGACACACCCGUGUUCCGUUCCUCGAACGGCUCGUGCGCGCGCAACGGCCGCCCCGUGAAUCGCCCGUCCCGUCGCAUUAACUCCUCGGCAGGGCAAGCGACACCUUUCGCAGGCGAAGCGGGCGUCGUUUCACCUCUGCCAUGAUGACCACGUCAAAAAAGGUGCGCCACGCCAUUUAAAUUCAUAUCCUUUUCCUCUUCCUCUUUCUCUCUCUUACUACAGGGACCGGGAAUGGGGAUAUUUCGGAAAGGAUCCUUCUUAGCGAAGGAAACGGGCCCCCGAGCCCUCCUACUGAUCAGGGGUUCGAAGGCUGGCCCCUCGGAAGGGUUCGACAGCUGCCCCAGAGCACUCGGGCUCCACGCCCAUUACUAAUCAGGGGUUCGAAGGCUAGCCCCUCGGAACUGUUCGACAGCCGCCCCAGAGCACUCGGGCUCCGCGCCCUUUACUGAUCAGGGGUUCGAAGGCUGGCCCCUCGGAAGGGUUCGACAGCCGCCCCAGAGCACGCAGAGUGAGGGAUGACUCUGGGUACGUCUGUUACAUGGCCGAGGCUCGGGCUACGCUCCCGAGGUACCCUAGGACAUUUCCGAGACCAGCAGGAGCGAUUUUGUAAUGGAAUCCCACCAGAGGGAGGCAUCGAGCCCUCGGACCCUAUCGAAUGGGUCCGGGUCCGGCAAAUCACCUGUAGGUACUUUUGGAGCACGACUCUAGGCCACUAGCCGACCCUUAUCAAACGGGGCACGUGCGUCCACUCGGAUCACCCGUUAGCAACUCACUGGAGACACCAUGUUCGGCGCCCUCCGAGGGCAACAUGGCGCUUUCCCCCCCCCCCUUCCUCCUUGCUGAAAGGCGACGAAGGGGCGUAUAAUAAAAGUCGAGACAGUCCUUGAUCGUCCUCUCGCUCCAUGCAGAGGCUCGGGGGCUGCUCUCGCAACCCGACUACGGCCAAACCGUUGACAGCGUCAACAAACCAGCCUAAAAACUCGGAACCUGACCAUGCACCCAAGCUACGACCAGGCCGCAUGAGGGAACAACAAGGCCGGCCGAAGAAUCAUGAAAAGCAUUAAGACCUCAGAGGAGUCAAACCACUCCUCCGAGGCCUCGGGGGCUACACCCGGCGGGUGCGUUCGCGCGCACCCAUCGGAACAAAGUAUAACCGAGGAAGGCCGUUCCCCUCGCAAAAAAGUGCGGCAAAGCCUCCAAGCGAGUACCAACACUCCCUUUGAGGCUCGGGGGCUACUGUCGGGUACCGUAAUUAGGGGUACCCCCAACACUCCUAAACACGGCUGGUAAGCACCAUCAGCACAAACUACAGAGACUGAUGGGCACGGUUCAGGUCAAGACCUCGCCUACCAAGGGACGCAAUCUCGCCUCGCCCGAACCCGGCCCCAGGCGGGAACAGUAGUCCCGGACGAAUUCGCGCCUCGCCCGAGGGUCUCCUCAGGCAGUGGGCGCACCCUCGGCUCGCCCGAGGACCAGCUCGGGCAGGCUUCGUCGAGAAGCAACCUUGGCCAAAUCGCCUCACCAACCGACCGUAUCGCAGGCACAUUCAACGCGAGGAUCGCCUGACACCUUAUCCUGACACGCGCGCCUCAGUCGGCCAGGUCGAAGUGACCGCAGUCACUUCACCCUUUCACUGACCGAUCUGACAGGAAAACAGCGUCGCUCAACCCGCUCCGACUGCUGUGCCAGCCACCCGGGCAAGGCUGACAAUAGCAAGUUCAGCCUCGGGCGCAACAGGAAGCUCCGCCUCGCUCGACCUUAGGUCUCGGCCUCGGGAGGAGGUAACCGCCUCGCCCGACCCCAAGACUCAGCCUUAGCCUCGGCCUCGGGAGGAAUCGCGUCCUCGCCCGACCCCGGCCUCGGCCUCAGGAGAAGUCUCCGCCUCGCCCGACCUUGGGCUCGGACCGACCGCGCCACAGGGGAUACAUCAUUACCCUACCCCUAGCUAGCUCAGGCUACGAGGGAACAAGACCGGCGUCACAUCUAGCUCGUCCUGGUAACAGGUAAUGAUGGCUCCCCGCGUGCGUCCAUGACGACGGUAGUUCUAAGCCCCCUACGGAAGCAAGGAGACGUCAGCAGGAUCUCAGCAGCACCAUCAGCUGUGCUUCUACAGGGCUCAGGCACUUCUCCGACGGCCACGUUAUCGCGUACACAGGGCUCUAGCACUUCUCCGACAGCCACGUUGGCAUGUGCACAGGGCUCAGGCACCUCUCUGCCAGACACGUUAGCGCAUAGCUACAACCCCCAUUGUACACCUGGACCCUCUCCUUACAUCUAUAAAAGGGAGGUCCAGGGCCUUCAUGCGGGAGGGUGACGCGGAGGGACGAGCAAACGAACAUGCUCACUCUCUCUCUCUCUCUCUCUCGCGAACGCUUGUAACCCCUACUACGAGCACACCCCCCUGGUGCGAGAUAAUACGAGCAACGUUUUCCCCUUGUUUUCCAUCUCGCGCCAACCCAUCUGGGCAGGGACACGCAGCGACAAAUUUACUGGUUGGCUUACGGACCCCCCGGGUCCGAAACGGCGACAAUCUCAAUGCCCAAAUCCACAUAAAGUACUAGCAAGUACUACCCCGAAGUCCAGUGGUAAACAAGGCAUAAAGAUAGACAAACUAGGGUAACCUAUUGGGUCCCAUCAAAAUUAACCUAUGUAGAUCAUUAUGAUAAUAAGAACAUGAGUGGGAAAAAAGAAGUGAUCAAGGGCACAACUUACUGGGACUUGAGAUUCCAGGUACCAGGAUGAUCUUCAGGUGACUCGUAACCUCGCUAGUCGUAGCAAUACAAACAAACAUGGUAUAGGAAAAAUUAACAUUACACCAAACAUAAGUACAAACUGCAUAAUAAUAAUCUACGCGUUGCUACGAGAUCAUGGGAACAAAACCACUGAAAUUGGAGUUACGAUUAAGGAGUUAUGAUUUAUGGAAGAUCUAUGUGAUUUAACUAUUAAACUAUAUUAUAAAUUGAUUAGUAUACAUCAUAUGAGAGAAUCUCUUAUAUAUAAUUAACUCAACCCAUAAUCUAAGUCAUUAUUUCAAUAAAGGUCAUCUAGUCAAAUUAUAACCAUAAGAUCAUAAUACUAUAUUAAUAUUAAAGAAGUUAAUCCAAUAUACAUAGAUUAUUCCAAUUAGUUACCUAAUUAUAAAAGUAGGGGAUAUCAUAUAAAAAAUGUUGCUACUGCAUAGUAAAUAUUUAUAUGAAGCUAACGCAACUGUGACGAGUCAAUUCGAAAUUAAAACGGAGAAGUUAUGAAUUUUCGAAGUUAUUAAGUGCUUAGUAUAGAAUGAAUCAAGUGAACAAUUUUAAUUCAAUUUUCAUGGCUAAACAAAGAUACUAGAUGAUAAACAAUAUUAAAACAAAAUAAUGCCACAUGAAUGAAUUAAUUUGGAGUUAAAAUGGAUUUAAUUCGAAUUAAACCUGUUUCUAAAAUUGUUUUCAUACUAAAACCCAUUUUCUACAUUAAUAUACUCAUUUUAUUCACAAUCCGGACUGCGGACAUUAAUACCCUAAAGAUUAGGGGCUAAACCAAAAAUUACAGGGCAUAGAUUAAAUUUUCUACAACUGCAUCAGGAUGGCGGGUUAGUUCCAAAAUUUCAUAGGGUCUCUUAUGCAAAUGAGGCUGGCCGAAGGGUAUGGACUAUUCCCCAGCCGUCCUAUCAGAUCCAGACGUCCUAGAUUAAAUCGUGUUUUCAAACGAACCGGUAUGCUUUGUGGUUCAUCCUAUCCGAUCUCAACGGCCCAGAACAAUCCGAGCCCUAGCUACCCUGUUUUUAAUCUCACCCGUGGAUCCAUCAAUCAACGACCCAAGGGAUGCCUCAUGCAAUGAUUUAAUCUCCCCCGCCCACAUCAGAUCGGACGACUAGAGUGCUCCUUCAACCUCCCAUGAAGGCUGGCCCGCGGCGGCGAGCGUCUGCACGGCAGUUCCCCACCAGAGUUCACGCAAGACGCGCACCCGAGCCCUAUUUACCCAUCCAAAAGGUUCAACACGCAGGGGAGAUCAUCACGAGCUAGCUGGUAGGUAUUUACUUGGUGUCGAAGCGCGGGCGCUAUCGCCCACGGAAGCAGCGGCAUGGCGGUGGCCAUACAUUCCGUCGAGCAAUUACUCCAGCUCUGGCAACCCAUCCCGCCAUGGGUACUUGUUGGUGUGGUGGCAGCCGGGCACGACGAGCACCGUGCGACAGACGAAGUUCUCCGAUGCCAUGAGCACGAUGCCCGCGCCUGGCGACCAGCUCCUGCUCCAUCAGCGCGCACAAUCGGGUCGGCUACUGCCAGCGAUUGGUUGCCCAGGAGCAGAUCGACGAUGGAGACACCAGCGGGUCACACCGAGCACCAUCACUACCCCUUCCCCUCGGUCUUCUCUCUCUCAAAUAUCUCCCAUGCGAUGGCGCUGGCAUGAGGAUGCAGAAAACAACGUUUUUUUUGGAAGAACUGGG